UACGUAGGGUGCAAGCGUUAUUCGGAAUUACUGGGCGUAAAGCGUGCGCAGGCGGCUUUGCAAGACAGAUGUGAAAUCCCCGGGCUUAACCUGGGAACUGCAUUUGUGACUGCAAGGCUAGAGUACGGUAGAGGGGGAUGGAAUUCCGCGUGUAGCAGUGAAAUGCGUAGAUAUGCGGAGGAACACCGAUGGCGAAGGCAAUCCCCUGGACCUGUACUGACGCUCAUGCACGAAAGCGUGGGGAGCAAACAGG
Molecule: ribosomal RNA, 253 nt
Filed under: uncultured bacterium
Lineage: Bacteria
Description: partial 16S ribosomal RNA
Rfam family: Bacterial small subunit ribosomal RNA
Source: RNAcentral